UCCUACAGUAGUAUAAAAACCAUCGUACACUUCCAAUCUCAAUGCUCCUGCCUUCACACCGGGCAGGUAAACAAAAACAGAAAUGAUACCAUGCGCGGCCCAUGCGUCCGCCGUAUCGACCGCAGGUGAAAACGUCUGUAGUUUUGCUCUUGGCCCCAAGCAAAACGUUGGGUGGAGGACGAGUCGUGUACCCACCGCAUUGGUUGAGCAUUUUCCGGCCAUUUUAUAUCAUCAGCUUUUGGCGCUCGGCACAUGACACACCUUUAUCCCAGGCGCG
RNAcentral lists this long non-coding RNA (277 nucleotides) under Hordeum vulgare. Its description in RNAcentral is "long non-coding RNA (HVUL_LNC002058)". The record is from RNAcentral. Lineage: Eukaryota; Viridiplantae; Streptophyta; Magnoliopsida; Poales; Poaceae.